UAAACUAGGAUUAGAUACCCUAUUAUUUUGAUAGUGUGGUUUCCUGGGUAGUAUUAGUUAUGUUCUUUAAACCCAAAGGAUUUGGCGGUGUUUUAGUCCUUUCAGAGGAACUUGUCUCGUAAUCGAUGGUCCCCGUUUGUCUUUCUUGGUCUUGUUAAUACAGUAUGUAUACCGCCGUUAUCAGUUUAUGUUAUAAGGUAUUGAAUUUACUUAAUAGGUUAAUGUCUACUAUUUCAGGUCAAGGUGCAGCUUAUGGCUAAGUGAUGAUGAGUUACAAUCUAGCUUUAUAGAUAUGGAUUUAUUCUUUAAAGGUGUUUUGAAGGUGGAUUUGAUGGUAAUUGUAUUGAUUAUAUUACUAUGACUUUGGCUCUAAGAUAAGUACACAUCG
This 388-nucleotide ribosomal RNA is filed under the name Metriophasma diocles. Its description in RNAcentral is "partial 12S ribosomal RNA". The record is from RNAcentral. Lineage: Eukaryota; Metazoa; Arthropoda; Insecta; Phasmatodea; Pseudophasmatidae.